GCUCCCGUGGUCCAGCCUGGACAAGACAAGAGGUUGCGGACCUCUAAACCCGCGUUCAAAUCGCGGCGGGAGCA
Molecule: transfer RNA, 74 nt
Filed under: Candidatus Aenigmatarchaeota archaeon
Lineage: Archaea; Nanobdellati; Candidatus Aenigmatarchaeota
Description: tRNA-Arg
Rfam family: tRNA
About the family: Transfer RNA (tRNA) molecules are approximately 80 nucleotides in length. Their secondary structure includes four short double-helical elements and three loops (D, anti-codon, and T loops). Further hydrogen bonds mediate the characteristic L-shaped molecular structure. tRNAs have two regions of fundamental functional importance: the anti-codon, which is responsible for specific mRNA codon recognition, and the 3' end, to which the tRNAs corresponding amino acid is attached (by aminoacyl-tRNA synthetases). tRNAs cope with the degeneracy of the genetic code in two manners: having more than one tRNA (with a specific anti-codon) for a particular amino acid; and 'wobble' base-pairing, i.e. permitting non-standard base-pairing at the 3rd anti-codon position.
Source: RNAcentral